RNAcentral lists this ribosomal RNA (468 nucleotides) under uncultured bacterium. RNAcentral's name for it is "partial 16S ribosomal RNA". It matches the Rfam family "Bacterial small subunit ribosomal RNA", at positions 28 to 507 of the family's 1533-position model. The record is from RNAcentral.
GACGAACGCUGGCGGCGUGCUUAACACAUGCAAGUCGAACGGAAAGGCCCUGCUUUUGUGGGAUGCUCGAGUGGCGAACGGGUGAGUAACACGUGAGUAACCUGCCCUUGACUUUGGGAUAACUUCAGGAAACUGGGGCUAAUACCGGAUAGGAGCUCCUGCUGCAUGGUGGGGGUUGGAAAGUUUCGGCGGUUGGGGAUGGACUCGCGGCUUAUCAGCUUGUUGGUGGGGUAGUGGCUUACCAAGGCUUUGACGGGUAGCCGGCCUGAGAGGGUGACCGGCCAUAUUGGGACUGAGAUACGGCCCAGACUCCUACGGGAGGCAGCAGUGGGGAAUAUUGCACAAUGGGCGGAAGCCUGAUGCAGCAACGCCGCGUGCGGGAUGACGGCCUUCGGGUUGUAAACCGCUUUCGCCUGUGACGAAGCGUGAGUGACGGUAAUGGGUAAAGAAGCACCGGCUAACUACGUG